CGGUGAGGUAGAGGUGCAGACAGGAUCAGUAUCCUUUUGGAGGAUGAUAACUGGGAAGAUUGGUGAAAGGCCUGUUUGCCGAAGUAUUAAGGGAGUGUCAGCCCCUUAUUACUGGUAUUAUGUCGAAUAGGGAUAAUACUGUCAUGUCUGGAAAGAAUAGCAUGAAGGGCUACUGAUCGA
This 180-nucleotide non-coding RNA is filed under the name Sediminibacillus halophilus. Its description in RNAcentral is "Lysine sequence". It matches the Rfam family "Lysine riboswitch aptamer". Rfam says of the family: Riboswitches are metabolite binding domains within certain messenger RNAs that serve as precision sensors for their corresponding targets. The record is from RNAcentral. Lineage: Bacteria; Bacillati; Bacillota; Bacilli; Caryophanales; Bacillaceae.